This 305-nucleotide unclassified non-coding RNA is filed under the name plant metagenome. RNAcentral's name for it is "partial contains 5.8S ribosomal RNA, internal transcribed spacer 2, and large subunit ribosomal RNA". The stretch from base 1 to 105 matches the Rfam family "5.8S ribosomal RNA", at positions 50 to 154 of the family's 154-position model. The record is from RNAcentral.
GAAAUGCUAUAAGUAGUGUGAAUUGCAGAAUUCAGUGAAUCAUCGAAUCUUUGAACGCACAUUGCGCCCCUUGGUAUUCCAUGGGGCAUGCCUGUUCGAGCGUCAUCUACACCCUCAAGCUCUGCUUGGUGUUGGGCGUCUGUCCCGCCCCCGCGCGUGGACUCGCCCCAAAUCCAUUGGCAGCGUUCCUUGCCCCCUCUCGCGCAGCACAUUGCGCUUCUCGAGGGCGGCUCCGGGACGCGAUCCAGCAAGAUGACCACCGUCUUUGACCUCGGAUCAGGUAGGGAUACCCGCUGAACUUAAGC